GAUCUGAUGGUGGAGUGGUUACCAUGCCUGCUGAAACUACAGUUGAACGUAGCAUGUCUCGCAGGAGACCCCCGUUCAAUUCGGGGUCAGGUCA
Non-coding RNA from Mycena latifolia, 94 nucleotides. Lineage: Eukaryota; Fungi; Basidiomycota; Agaricomycetes; Agaricales; Mycenaceae. The record is from the annotation of a GenBank genome assembly.